Molecule: ribosomal RNA, 464 nt
Filed under: uncultured bacterium
Lineage: Bacteria
Description: bacterial SSU rRNA
Rfam family: Bacterial small subunit ribosomal RNA
Source: RNAcentral
CCAGACUCCUACGGGAGGCAGCAGUGAGGAAUAUCGGUCAAUGGCCGAGAGGCUGAACCAGCCAAGUCGCGUGAGGGAAGACGGCCCUACGGGUUGUAAACCUCUUUUGUCAGGGAGCAACGCCGGCUACGUGUAGCCGGACUGAGAGUACCUGAAGAAAAAGCAUCGGCUAACUCCGUGCCAGCAGCCGCGGUAAUACGGAGGAUGCGAGCGUUAUCCGGAUUUAUUGGGUUUAAAGGGUGCGUAGGCGGAAUGCCAAGUCAGCGGUAAAAUCGCGGGGCUCAACCUCGCUCCGCCGUUGAAACUGGCGUUCUUGAGUGGGCGAGAAGUAUGCGGAAUGCGUGGUGUAGCGGUGAAAUGCAUAGAUAUCGCGCAGAACUCCGAUUGCGAAGGCAGCUCACUGGACUGCAACUGACACUGAGGCUCGAAAGUGUGGGUAUCAAACAGGAUUAGAUACCCGAGUA